UACAGAGGUCUCAAGCGUUGUUCGGAUUCAUUGGGCGUAAAGGGUGUGUAGGUGGCGCCGUUAGUCGGGUGUGAAAUUUCGGAGCUUAACUCCGAAACUGCAUUCGAUACUGCGGUGCUUGAGGACUGGAGAGGAGACUGGAAUUUACGGUGUAGCGGUGAAAUGCGUAGAGAUCAUGAGGAAGACCAGUGGCGAAGGCGGGUCUCUGGACAGUUCCUGACGCUGAGGCACGAAGGUCAGGGGAGCAAACGGGG
This 254-nucleotide ribosomal RNA is filed under the name uncultured bacterium. RNAcentral's name for it is "partial 16S ribosomal RNA". It matches the Rfam family "Bacterial small subunit ribosomal RNA", at positions 524 to 777 of the family's 1533-position model. The record is from RNAcentral.